GUCGUAACAAGGUUUCCGUAGGUGAACCUGCGGAAGGAUCAUUACUGAAUUGUCAAACGGGUUGUUGCUGGCCCUCAUAGGGGGCAUGUGCACGCUCUGUUUACACAUCCACUCACACCUGUGCACCCUCUGUAGUUCUAUGGUCUGGGGGACCCUGUCUUCCUUCUGUGGUUCUACGUCUUUACACACACACUGUAAUAAAGUUUUAUGGAAUGUACAUCGCGUCUAACGCAAUACAAUACAACUUUCAGCAACGGAUCUCUUGGCUCUCGCAUCGAUGAAGAACGCAGCGAAAUGCGAUAAGUAAUGUGAAUUGCAGAAUUCAGUGAAUCAUCGAAUCUUUGAACGCACCUUGCGCCCCUUGGCUAUUCCGAGGGGCAUGCCUGUUUGAGUAUCAUGAACACCUCAACUCUCAUGGUUUGCCAUGAUGAGUUGGACUCUGGGGGUUUUGCUGGCCUGUGGUCGGCUCCUCUCAAAUUAAUCAGCCUCCCAGUGUUUGGUGGCAUCACGGGUGUGAUAAAUAUCUACGCUCGCUGUUGUCUGCCAGGUAACCUUUGGUCACAAAGGCUUGCUGGAGCUCACAGAUGUCUCUCCUCAGCGAGGACAGCCUUUUUAACGUUCGAUCUCAAAUCAGGUAGGACUACCCGCUGAACUUAAGCAUAUCAAUAAGCGGAGGAAAAGAAACUAACAAGGAUUCCCCUAGUAACUGCGAGUGAAGCGGGAAAAGCUCAAAUUUAAAA
This 740-nucleotide ribosomal RNA is filed under the name uncultured Pseudotomentella. Its description in RNAcentral is "eukaryotic LSU rRNA". The stretch from base 243 to 397 matches the Rfam family "5.8S ribosomal RNA". The record is from RNAcentral. Lineage: Eukaryota; Fungi; Basidiomycota; Agaricomycetes; Thelephorales; Thelephoraceae.